Molecule: ribosomal RNA, 484 nt
Filed under: uncultured bacterium
Lineage: Bacteria
Description: partial 16S ribosomal RNA
Rfam family: Bacterial small subunit ribosomal RNA
Source: RNAcentral
AUUGAACGCUGGCGGCAGGCCUAACACAUGCAAGUCGAGCGGAUGAAGGGAGCUUGCUUCUGGAUGCAGCGGCGGACGGGCGAGUUAUGCCUAGGAAUCUGCCUGCUCGUGGCGGCUAACGUUCUGACACGGGCGCUCAUACCGCAUACGGCCUGAGGGAGAAAGGUGGGGAUCUUCGGACCUCACGCUAUCAGAUGACUCUAGGUCGGAGUAGCUAGUUGGUGGGGUAAAGGCCUACCAAGGCGACGAUCCGUAACUGGUCUGCGAGGAUGAUCAGUCACACUGGAACUGAGACACGGUCCAGACUCCUAAGGGAGGCAGCAGUGGGGAAUAUUGGACAAUGGGCGAAAGCCUGAUCCAGCCAUGCCGCGUGUGUGAAGAAGGUCUUCGGAUUGUAAAGCACUUUAAGUUGGGAGGAAGGGCAGUAAGUUAAUACCUUGCUGUUUUGACGUUACCAACAGAAUAAGCACCGGCUAACUUCGUG